Molecule: unclassified non-coding RNA, 253 nt
Filed under: uncultured Flavobacteriaceae bacterium
Lineage: Bacteria; Pseudomonadati; Bacteroidota; Flavobacteriia; Flavobacteriales; Flavobacteriaceae
Description: contains 16S-23S intergenic spacer region
Rfam family: Bacterial small subunit ribosomal RNA
Source: RNAcentral
UACGGAGGAGGCUAGCGUUAUCCGGAAUCAUUGGGCGUAAAGCGUCCGUAGGCGGGACAAUAAGUCAGUGGUGAAAGUCUGCAGCUUAACUGUAGAACUGCCAUUGAUACUGGUGUCCUUGAGUAAUUAUGAAGUGGUUAGAAUAUGUAGUGUAGCGGUGAAAUGCAUAGAUAUUACAUAGAAUACCGAUUGCGAAGGCAGAUCACUAAUAAAAUACUGACGCUGAUGGACGAAAGCGUAGGUAGCGAACAGG